RNAcentral lists this ribosomal RNA (2930 nucleotides) under Escherichia coli. RNAcentral's name for it is "bacterial LSU rRNA". It matches the Rfam family "Bacterial large subunit ribosomal RNA". Lineage: Bacteria; Pseudomonadati; Pseudomonadota; Gammaproteobacteria; Enterobacterales; Enterobacteriaceae. The record is from RNAcentral.
GGGUUGUGAGGUUAAGCGACUAAGCGUACACGGUGGAUGCCCUGGCAGUCAGAGGCGAUGAAGGACGUGCUAAUCUGCGAUAAGCGUCGGUAAGGUGAUAUGAACCGUUAUAACCGGCGAUUUCCGAAUGGGGAAACCCAGUGUGAUUCGUCACACUAUCAUUAACUGAAUCCAUAGGUUAAUGAGGCGAACCGGGGGAACUGAAACAUCUAAGUACCCCGAGGAAAAGAAAUCAACCGAGAUUCCCCCAGUAGCGGCGAGCGAACGGGGAGCAGCCCAGAGCCUGAAUCAGUGUGUGUGUUAGUGGAAGCGUCUGGAAAGGCGCGCGAUACAGGGUGACAGCCCCGUACACAAAAAUGCACAUGCUGUGAGCUCGAUGAGUAGGGCGGGACACGUGGUAUCCUGUCUGAAUAUGGGGGGACCAUCCUCCAAGGCUAAAUACUCCUGACUGACCGAUAGUGAACCAGUACCGUGAGGGAAAGGCGAAAAGAACCCCGGCGAGGGGAGUGAAAAAGAACCUGAAACCGUGUACGUACAAGCAGUGGGAGCACGCUUAGGCGUGUGACUGCGUACCUUUUGUAUAAUGGGUCAGCGACUUAUAUUCUGUAGCAAGGUUAACCGAAUAGGGGAGCCGAAGGGAAACCGAGUCUUAACUGGGCGUUAAGUUGCAGGGUAUAGACCCGAAACCCGGUGAUCUAGCCAUGGGCAGGUUGAAGGUUGGGUAACACUAACUGGAGGACCGAACCGACUAAUGUUGAAAAAUUAGCGGAUGACUUGUGGCUGGGGGUGAAAGGCCAAUCAAACCGGGAGAUAGCUGGUUCUCCCCGAAAGCUAUUUAGGUAGCGCCUCGUGAAUUCAUCUCCGGGGGUAGAGCACUGUUUCGGCAAGGGGGUCAUCCCGACUUACCAACCCGAUGCAAACUGCGAAUACCGGAGAAUGUUAUCACGGGAGACACACGGCGGGUGCUAACGUCCGUCGUGAAGAGGGAAACAACCCAGACCGCCAGCUAAGGUCCCAAAGUCAUGGUUAAGUGGGAAACGAUGUGGGAAGGCCCAGACAGCCAGGAUGUUGGCUUAGAAGCAGCCAUCAUUUAAAGAAAGCGUAAUAGCUCACUGGUCGAGUCGGCCUGCGCGGAAGAUGUAACGGGGCUAAACCAUGCACCGAAGCUGCGGCAGCGACACUAUGUGUUGUUGGGUAGGGGAGCGUUCUGUAAGCCUGUGAAGGUGUGCUGUGAGGCAUGCUGGAGGUAUCAGAAGUGCGAAUGCUGACAUAAGUAACGAUAAAGCGGGUGAAAAGCCCGCUCGCCGGAAGACCAAGGGUUCCUGUCCAACGUUAAUCGGGGCAGGGUGAGUCGACCCCUAAGGCGAGGCCGAAAGGCGUAGUCGAUGGGAAACAGGUUAAUAUUCCUGUACUUGGUGUUACUGCGAAGGGGGGACGGAGAAGGCUAUGUUGGCCGGGCGACGGUUGUCCCGGUUUAAGCGUGUAGGCUGGUUUUCCAGGCAAAUCCGGAAAAUCAAGGCUGAGGCGUGAUGACGAGGCACUACGGUGCUGAAGCAACAAAUGCCCUGCUUCCAGGAAAAGCCUCUAAGCAUCAGGUAACAUCAAAUCGUACCCCAAACCGACACAGGUGGUCAGGUAGAGAAUACCAAGGCGCUUGAGAGAACUCGGGUGAAGGAACUAGGCAAAAUGGUGCCGUAACUUCGGGAGAAGGCACGCUGAUAUGUAGGUGAAGUCCCUCGCGGAUGGAGCUGAAAUCAGUCGAAGAUACCAGCUGGCUGCAACUGUUUAUUAAAAACACAGCACUGUGCAAACACGAAAGUGGACGUAUACGGUGUGACGCCUGCCCGGUGCCGGAAGGUUAAUUGAUGGGGUCAGCGCAAGCGAAGCUCUUGAUCGAAGCCCCGGUAAACGGCGGCCGUAACUAUAACGGUCCUAAGGUAGCGAAAUUCCUUGUCGGGUAAGUUCCGACCUGCACGAAUGGCGUAAUGAUGGCCAGGCUGUCUCCACCCGAGACUCAGUGAAAUUGAACUCGCUGUGAAGAUGCAGUGUACCCGCGGCAAGACGGAAAGACCCCGUGAACCUUUACUAUAGCUUGACACUGAACAUUGAGCCUUGAUGUGUAGGAUAGGUGGGAGGCUUUGAAGUGUGGACGCCAGUCUGCAUGGAGCCGACCUUGAAAUACCACCCUUUAAUGUUUGAUGUUCUAACGUUGACCCGUGAUCCGGGUUGCGGACAGUGUCUGGUGGGUAGUUUGACUGGGGCGGUCUCCUCCUAAAGAGUAACGGAGGAGCACGAAGGUUGGCUAAUCCUGGUCGGACAUCAGGAGGUUAGUGCAAUGGCAUAAGCCAGCUUGACUGCGAGCGUGACGGCGCGAGCAGGUGCGAAAGCAGGUCAUAGUGAUCCGGUGGUUCUGAAUGGAAGGGCCAUCGCUCAACGGAUAAAAGGUACUCCGGGGAUAACAGGCUGAUACCGCCCAAGAGUUCAUAUCGACGGCGGUGUUUGGCACCUCGAUGUCGGCUCAUCACAUCCUGGGGCUGAAGUAGGUCCCAAGGGUAUGGCUGUUCGCCAUUUAAAGUGGUACGCGAGCUGGGUUUAGAACGUCGUGAGACAGUUCGGUCCCUAUCUGCCGUGGGCGCUGGAGAACUGAGGGGGGCUGCUCCUAGUACGAGAGGACCGGAGUGGACGCAUCACUGGUGUUCGGGUUGUCAUGCCAAUGGCACUGCCCGGUAGCUAAAUGCGGAAGAGAUAAGUGCUGAAAGCAUCUAAGCACGAAACUUGCCCCGAGAUGAGUUCUCCCUGACUCCUUGAGAGUCCUGAAGGAACGUUGAAGACGACGACGUUGAUAGGCCGGGUGUGUAAGCGCAGCGAUGCGUUGAGCUAACCGGUACUAAUGAACCGUGAGGCUUAACCUUACAACGCCGAAGGUGUUU